CAGUCGCCACGGGAAUACGGAGGGAGCUAGCGUUGUUCGGAAUUACUGGGCGUAAAGCGCGCGUAGGCGGUUACUCAAGUCAGAGGUGAAAGCCCGGGGCUCAACCCCGGAACUGCCUUUGAAACUAGGUGACUAGAAUCUUGGAGAGGUCAGUGGAAUUCCGAGUGUAGAGGUGAAAUUCGUAGAUAUUCGGAAGAACACCAGUGGCGAAGGCGACUGACUGGACAAGUAUUGACGCUGAGGUGCGAAAGCGUGGGGAGCAAACAGGAUUAGAUACCCCCGUAGUCCCUGUCUCUUAUAC
This 301-nucleotide ribosomal RNA is filed under the name uncultured bacterium. Its description in RNAcentral is "partial 16S ribosomal RNA". It matches the Rfam family "Bacterial small subunit ribosomal RNA", at positions 509 to 807 of the family's 1533-position model. The record is from RNAcentral.